This 496-nucleotide ribosomal RNA is filed under the name uncultured bacterium. RNAcentral describes it as "partial 16S ribosomal RNA". It matches the Rfam family "Bacterial small subunit ribosomal RNA", at positions 28 to 506 of the family's 1533-position model. The record is from RNAcentral.
GAUGAACGCUGGCGGCGUGCCUAAUACAUGCAAGUCGAGCGAACAGACGAGGAGCUUGCUCCUCUGACGUUAGCGGCGGACGGGUGAGUAACACGUGGAUAACCUACCUAUAAGACUGGGAUAACUUCGGGAAACCGGAGCUAAUACCGGAUAAUAUAUUGAACCGCAUGGUUCAAUAGUGAAAGACGGUUUUGCUGUCACUUAUAGAUGGAUCCGCGCCGCAUUAGCUAGUUGGUAAGGUAACGGCUUACCAAGGCAACGAUGCGUAGCCGACCUGAGAGGGUGAUCGGCCACACUGAAACUGAGACACGGUCCAGACUCCUACGGGAGGCAGCAGUAGGGAAUCUUCAGCAAUGGGCGAAAGCCUGACGGAGCAACGCCGCGUGAGUGAUGAAGGUCUUCGGAUCGUAAAACUCUGUUAUUAGGGAAGAACAAAUGUGUAAGUAACUAUGCACGUCUUGACGGUACCUAAUAAGAAAGCCACGGCUAACUACGG